CCUACGGGAGGCAGCAGUGGGGAAUAUUGCACAAUGGGGGAAACCCUGAUGCAGCGACGCCGCGUGAGUGAAGAAGUAUCUCGGUAUGUAAAACUCUAUCAGCAGGGAAGCAAAUGACGGUACCUGACUCAGAAGCCCCGUCUAACUACGUGCCCGCAGCCGCGGUAAUACGUAGGGGGCAAGCGUGAUCCGGAUUUACUGGGUGUAAAGGGAGCGUAGACGGGGCUGCAAGUCCGGAGUGAAAGCCCAGGGCUUAACCAUGGUACUGCUCUGGAAACUGGGGGGCUUGAGUGCGAGAGGGGCAGGCGGAAUUCCUGGUGUAGCGGUGAAAUGCGUAGAUAUUAGGAAGAACCCCGGCGGCGAAGGCGGCCUGCUGGACCGUAACUGACGUUGAGGCUCGAAAGCGUGGGGAGCGAACAGGAUUAGAUACCCCUGUAGUC
RNAcentral lists this ribosomal RNA (440 nucleotides) under uncultured bacterium. RNAcentral's name for it is "partial 16S ribosomal RNA". It matches the Rfam family "Bacterial small subunit ribosomal RNA", at positions 338 to 795 of the family's 1533-position model. The record is from RNAcentral.